Hemiscyllium ocellatum (epaulette shark) is the source of this 644-nucleotide long non-coding RNA. RefSeq lists it as uncharacterized. NCBI's taxonomy places the organism in Eukaryota, Metazoa, Chordata, Chondrichthyes, Orectolobiformes, Hemiscylliidae. The record is from RefSeq and is a predicted model, not a curated record. The transcript has 5 exons.
ACCUGCGGGGCUGUUGGCCCUCCGACCAAUCAGUGAAUGAGAGGCGGGACCUGAUUAUACCACGUGAUCGUCCUCGCGGACAGCGCGGCUGUGCGGGUGGAGAGCUGUCGGAUAUUAAAUCAGAAUAAUUGAGGCUAGGAACUCAAAAGCAAGUUUUUACAGUCAAUGGAGUCAUCGGGAUCUGAAUAUCAUUUGCAUUUGACUGUGGACGGAGAAAGAAUGAGGCUGUCACUGGCUCGGCCAGCAUUUAUUGCUGCGUUUACCCAGAGGGCAGUUAAGAAUCAACCACGUUGCUAUAGGUCUGGAGUCCCAUGCAGACCAGACCAGAUCCCAGUGAUCAGUGCCAAAGCCCCAUUGCCUGUGGAGAGGGUGAUGUUUGAUUUCCCUGUCCAGCUGCAGUUCAUGUGGUGAAGGUGCUCCCACAAUGUGGUUGGGGUGCUUAAUGGUGAAGAUUUGCAGACUGAAAUCUCAAACUCCUGUGCAGAUUGUGAUUAAGUUAACCAGCAUUUGAAGAACCAAAGAUGGAGAAUAACUUGGGCAAAAUCCAGCAACACUCUCCCUCCCAGCAUUGUUGGUCUAUCUGCACCAAAUGGGCUGUGAAUGGUUCAAGACAGCAGCUCACUCCCAUCUUCUCCAGGGUAACU